CCUACGGGAGGCAGCAGUGGGGGAUAUUGCACAAUGGGGGGAACCCUGAUGCAGCGACGCCGCGUGUGGGAUGACGGUCCUCUGGUUUUUAAAUCACUUUCCCCAGGGACGUAAAUGACGGUACCUGACUAAGAAGCCCCGGCUAACUACGUGCCAGCAGCCGCGGUAAUACGUAGGGGGCAAGCGUUAUCCGGAUUUACUGGGGGUAAAGGGAGCGUAGGCGGGUUAGCAAGUCAGAAGUGAAAGCCCGGGGCUCAACUCCGGGACUGCUUUUGAAACUGUUGAACUAGAUUGCAGGAGAGGUAAGUGGAAUUCCUAGUGGAGCGGUGAAAUGCGUAGAUAUUAGGAGGAACACCAGUGGCGAAGGCGGCUUACUGGACUGUAAAUGACGCUGAGGCUCGAAAGCGUGGGGAGCAAACAGGAUUAGAUACCCCUGUAGUC
This 441-nucleotide ribosomal RNA is filed under the name uncultured bacterium. Its description in RNAcentral is "partial 16S ribosomal RNA". It matches the Rfam family "Bacterial small subunit ribosomal RNA", at positions 338 to 795 of the family's 1533-position model. The record is from RNAcentral.